UUUAGUUGGGCAAUAAUAAUUAUUAUGCAAAAGUAAUUAGAAUAUUAUAUAUUUUGAAAUUAGAGAAAAUUAUGUUUUUUAGCCUUUUGUCAAUACGUGAAAUAGAAUAGUAAAAUAUAGAAACAAGAGUGGAGAGCUAGGACUUGAAGGAGAAGGUCAAUUAAGGGUGCCUAAAUCAUGAAAGGGUAGAGAGGUUUCCAUUAACCUCCCUCAGGGUUUUACUUUUUCUAUUUGAUUGAUGAUAAUAUGAUAGAUGAUAA
RNAcentral lists this long non-coding RNA (260 nucleotides) under Lathyrus oleraceus (garden pea). Its description in RNAcentral is "Pisum sativum (pea) long non-coding RNA (PSAT_LNC039668)". Lineage: Eukaryota; Viridiplantae; Streptophyta; Magnoliopsida; Fabales; Fabaceae. The record is from RNAcentral.